GUUGGCCAGGACCGCAGUGGAAGCGUGGAUGGCCAGGAGCUGCAGAAGGCCGUUGCCAGCUUUGGCUACGGUUUGAGUCCUCAGGCGCUGAACAUCAUCAUGAAGCGCUACAGCCUGAACGGCAGGAUCACCUUCGACGAGUUCCUGAGCUGCUGCAUCCGACUGCGCAUCCUGACGGAUCAGUUCAGAAGAAGAGACACAACCCAAACUGGUUGCGCCGCGUUUCAGUACGAUGACUUCAUCCAGGUCACCAUGGGCGUCUGAAGAGGAACCACAGCAGAAACAUCACAUUCUCCCCUUAACAGCAUGUGAUCGUUAUAUGGACCCGAUGUCUUUUACUUUUUAUUAUAUCUCUUGUAUUUACGAGAUUAAGAUGUCACUGUAACAUUCCAUUUCAUACUAAACGUUAAACAUGUCUCUGCCUUCACCUCAGUAACUGUACAUGUGAUCAUGUGUGAAGUUAAUAAACAUGUAGCGUGUC
Long non-coding RNA from Limanda limanda (common dab), 481 nucleotides. RefSeq lists it as uncharacterized. The transcript is spliced from 4 exons. NCBI's taxonomy places the organism in Eukaryota, Metazoa, Chordata, Actinopteri, Pleuronectiformes, Pleuronectidae. The record is from RefSeq and is a predicted model, not a curated record.